CAGAGUCAGAAGCGGCAGAAACAGAACCUCAGGAAAGAUACCACACCCUGCCGGUAUGUCACUCAGCUAGGAGAAAGUCGACAGGAAGCCUCUUCAAAAUGUUUGAGAGACACUGGCUGCUCUUCUGAGGACCUAGAUUCAACUCCAGCACCCACGUGGUAGCGUACAACUAACUCCUGCCCCUUCUUCCUAUCUCCACGUGUAUGACACAGCAGGGCGUGGUAGGAUGCCACAUCCUUCUGUAGCUGGCUCUUGCACGCCAGCAGGUGUGCCCGCUCCUGCUGCUGCUGUUCUGUCUCUGAGCGGAUCUCUGCCAGCUCUGCCUCCAGCCUGCCCACUACCGCACCCAGGUUCUGCAGUUCCAUGUCAUGCCAGUGCUGGGCGUCAUGCAAGCUGUUUUCCAGGCCUCGUUUCUACAAAAGAGUGAAGGUUAUCGGCUUGGGCGGUCCAGACAGGGUCUCACUGUAUAGCUCUGGCCACUUACUCUGUAGACCAGACUGGCUUCAAACUCACAGAGCUCCCUCUGCCUGCCAAGCUGCUGGGA
Molecule: long non-coding RNA, 544 nt
Filed under: Mus caroli (Ryukyu mouse)
Lineage: Eukaryota; Metazoa; Chordata; Mammalia; Rodentia; Muridae
Description: RIKEN cDNA 5830418P13 gene (MGP_CAROLIEiJ_G0013876.1)
Source: RNAcentral